CCCGCGGCCUGCCGGCAGCAGCUCCGGAGAGCUGUGGGCCGCGGACACUGUCCGUCGUCCUGGAAAAGGCUCCCCGCGGGACUGUGGCUAAGUCAGUCCGCCCUGUGUGUGCCCCCCUCCCGGACGUCCCGCUUCGUCCAGUAAGGCAGCAGUGUCUGCUCAAUGCCGAGUAUAAAUGCAGAAAAACAAAGUCAGGGAAGCUAAGGUUGCUUCCCUAAAUUAGGUGGCGUGAGUGACGUUGAAAAUCGCGAUUCAGGGUUUCUAGAAAGUGAGUUGAGAAUCCAUCCCGGUGCUCCACCCCGCAGAGUAAUUCCACCCACUCAAGGUUGAAACAGAGUAACAGACUUCGAAUCCCCUGAACCCUCUACACCACUGCGGUCGCGUGCCUACUUUACUCUCUAGCAGGCAAACAGUUGACUUCUGGAUAUCGAAUCUGCGUGGAUUUGACCACGAAUCAUUCACAAUGUGGCAAGUUUUACCCUUAGUAAUUGAGUCAGAGACGAAUUGGGGCCUGGUGUGCUUGGAGAAAAAAGCGUGGCUGUGAGUUUGCCCAACUCCAGUACAAACUGUUUCAUUGUGGUUGCGUUUUUUGUUGUGUGACAUGGUGGUCGUUUUGAAAAGUAUGGAGACACUGCACCCUACAAGAUGACCUGUAACAAUCGUUUCAGCUUAAACUACAGACCUGAGUUGCUGCUGAGGACCCUCAUGAACACAGGGUACACCACAGUCUACCAAGAACUGCACAGUGGGAAAGAAUCCCCUGGGAUCUGAAGGACUGGAGGAAUCAGCUAGUGAGAAUAGAACCCUGCAGACCAACAGCAAGAGCGAAACGGGCUGGAAAAAUGACUCGUUGGUUGCUGGUUGCGAGAAUUUGUUGCUCUUACAGAGAAUGGAAGUUUGAGUCCCGGCACCUGAAUGGCAGCUCUGCCGAUGUAUCUAGUGACACAGUCCAAGACAGCCCUGAAGGAGACUGCCUGACUGACUUUCUGAAGCCACCAAGCGCUGAGCUGAACUCCCUGAGCCUUUCUUCACGCGCCCAGCUCUGAGACUGGAACCCUCUUCUGGCCCCGUUGUUUCCUGAGGCCCAGAUGAGAUUUGUAGUCACACCAUUCCCACUUCAUUCCGCUAGCUUCUCACUGCCUUUCCCACAUGUUGAGAUAUUUGACAGUUCCGACUCUAUCAUCCAAUGUUGUCGUUCCUUUAUUUUUUCUUUUCUAAAGAAAUCUUCAUGCAGGCUGGAGAGAUGGCUCCUCGAUUAAGAGCACUGGCUGCCCUUCCAGAGCCUGAGUUCAGUUCCAAGCAACCAUCCAGUGACUCACAAUUAUCGGUAAUGAGAUCUGGUGCCCUCUUCUGAUGUUCAGGCAUACUUGCAUAAAAAAUAAAUAAGUAAAUUGUAAAAAAAGAAGUCUUUAGGCUUGUCAGAGAAGAAACAAAAUGUUUGAGGAAAAAGAAGUAGAAUAAUCAGUUCCUAGCGUGGGCAUAUGCUGAGAUGCCAUGAACAAGGCUUAGUGUGUCUAAGCUUGGCUUAAAAGGCAGCAUCAUAAUCUCCAUGUCUCUCCACUUCAGGCAGAGAGGGGUUGGAGACAGGCUCUCUCAGGACUACCUUCACUGAAGUUUCAAAAUAAAUGUGCUUGCCUUCUGUGG
This is a long non-coding RNA of Mesocricetus auratus (golden hamster), 1644 nucleotides long. RefSeq lists it as uncharacterized. The record is from RefSeq and is a predicted model, not a curated record. The transcript is spliced from 5 exons. Lineage: Eukaryota; Metazoa; Chordata; Mammalia; Rodentia; Cricetidae.